GAAUAUUGGGCAAUGGACGCAAGUCUGACCCAGCCAUGCCGCGUGGAGGAUGAAGGUCCUCUGGAUUGUAAACUUCUUUUAUUUGGGAAGAAAUGCCAAUUUUCUAAUUGGUUUGACGGUACCAGAUGAAUAAGCACCGGCUAACUCCGUGCCAGCAGCCGCGGUAAUACGGAGGGUGCAGGCGUUAUCCGGAUUCACUGGGUUUAAAGGGUGCGUAGGCGGGUUGGUAAGUCCGUGGUGAAAUCUCCGAGCUUAACACGGAAACUGCCGUGGAUACUAUCAGUCUUGAAUAUCGUUGAGGUAAGCGGAAUAUGUCAUGUAGCGGUGAAAUGCUUAGAUAUGACAUAGAACACCAAUUGCGAGGGCAGCUUACUGAACGGUCAUUGACGCUGAGGCACGAAAGCGUGGGGAGCAAACAGA
Molecule: ribosomal RNA, 420 nt
Filed under: uncultured bacterium
Lineage: Bacteria
Description: bacterial SSU rRNA
Rfam family: Bacterial small subunit ribosomal RNA
Source: RNAcentral